AGUGAACGCUGGCGGUAGGCCUAACACAUGCAAGUCGAACGGCAGCACAGUAAGAGCUUGCUCUUACGGGUGGCGAGUGGCGGACGGGUGAGGAAUACAUCGGAAUCUACUUUUUCGUGGGGGAUAACGUAGGGAAACUUACGCUAAUACCGCAUACGACCUACGGGUGAAAGCAGGGGAUCUUCGGACCUUGCGCGAUUGAAUGAGCCGGUGUCGGAUUAGCUAGUUGGCGGGGUAAAGGCCCACCAAGGCGACGAUCCGUAGCUGGUCUGAGAGGAUGAUCAGCCACACUGGAACUGAGACACGGUCCAGACUCCUAAGAGAGGAAGCAGUGGGGAAUAUUGGACGAUGGGCGCAAGCCUGAUCCAGCCAUACCGCGUGGGUGAAGAAGGCAUUCGGGUUGUAAAGCCCUUUUGUUGGGAAAGAAAAGCAGCAGGUUAAUACCCCGCUGUUCUGACGGUACCCAAAGAAUAAGCACCGGCUAAAUUCGUG
RNAcentral lists this ribosomal RNA (492 nucleotides) under uncultured bacterium. Its description in RNAcentral is "partial 16S ribosomal RNA". It matches the Rfam family "Bacterial small subunit ribosomal RNA", at positions 29 to 507 of the family's 1533-position model. The record is from RNAcentral.